This is a long non-coding RNA of Alligator sinensis (Chinese alligator), 395 nucleotides long. RefSeq lists it as uncharacterized. NCBI's taxonomy places the organism in Eukaryota, Metazoa, Chordata, Crocodylia, Alligatoridae. The record is from RefSeq and is a predicted model, not a curated record. The transcript has 3 exons.
AGACAGCAGAGCAGGGCAGCUCUGUCCUUGGGGGAAGGACUGACAAGCAUGGCUCCUGGUGGCCUGGAUUCAUGCCCUGGAGAACACCUGCAAAGUCAGGAAUUUGUGCUCCAGCUCUAUCUUUGUAGUGUAUGACAGAGAUGGACUGAAAUUUCAUCACCCACAGCCUCUACUGGAGCAUGUUUCUCUUGUAGCUCCUCCACCUUGUAAGACCAACAUGGCUAUAAAAUUGAUGCCUGAAACAUGGAAUGAUAUCAUAUUUUAUCUGCUUGGAAAUAUAAACUUCAUUGCUAAACAAGAAAGAAGAAUUUUUAACGUCUCUGGAUGCCUCUGACACCAGACACCUCCAGGGCUGAAGACGGCCUAAUCUGCACAUCACAGAGCAACAUUCUCAA